UUGACGGGGGCCCGCACAAGCGGUGGAGCAUGUGGUUUAAUUCGAUGCAACGCGAAGAACCUUACCUGGUCUUGACAUAUCUAGAAUCCUGCAGAGAUGCGGGAGUGCCUUCGGGAAUUAGAAUACAGGUGCUGCAUGGCUGUCGUCAGCUCGUGUCGUGAGAUGUUGGGUUAAGUCCCGCAACGAGCGCAACCCUUGUCCUUAGUUACCAGCGGGUUAAGCCGGGAACUCUAGGGAUACUGCCAGUGACAAACUGGAGGAAGGCGGGGACGACGUCAAGUCAUCAUGGCCCUUACGACCAGGGCUACACACGUGCUACAAUGGUAGGUACAGAGGGCAGCUACACAGCGAUGUGAUGCGAAUCUCAAAAAGCCUAUCGUAGUCCAGAUUGGAGUCUGCAACUCGACUCCAUGAAGUAGGAAUCGCUAGUAAUCGCGGAUCAGAAUGCCGCGGUGAAUACGUUCCCGGGCCUUGUACACACCGCCCGUCACACCAUGGGAGUUGAUUGCACCAGAAGUGGAUAGCUUAACCGUAAGGGGAGCGUUCACCGCGGUGUGGUUGAUGACC
This 567-nucleotide ribosomal RNA is filed under the name uncultured bacterium. RNAcentral's name for it is "bacterial SSU rRNA". It matches the Rfam family "Bacterial small subunit ribosomal RNA", at positions 910 to 1476 of the family's 1533-position model. The record is from RNAcentral.